AGGAAGCCUUCCAGACUUCAUUGACAUAUCUGCAUAUAUAGAUGCUGUGAAAAAUGGACAUUCUGGAUUUGCUUCCAGCUAUUACUGUUGACCAGAAGGGAAAAAUUGGUCAACCCUUGAAGAGGGUAUUGUUUUGUGAAGCAUCUUCCUCAGCUGAGGCCUCUGCAUGAUCUUUAGUACUCUGAAGAUCAGAUGAACUCAACUGAGAUUGGAGUUUUGAAAGCUGAGUAUUUUGUCAAACUCUCUGCUUCCUUAAUAGCCUUCAAGUAGCUAUAUAGUAUAUGCAACAGUUUUGGGCUAGUUGCCCUGGUUACACUUGUGCAUUUUGCCAGACUCUCAGAAAGAUGUGAUCCCUAAUUAACCUGAAAAUUAACAGGCUAAUGGCAAGGAUUUCACAACAACUCAGAAAGAGAGGCAGAAAAUAUCCUAGAAAAUGUAAAUCUGAGGUGACACUUGUAAACUUGCUGAAAUAUAUAAUAUUAUGGGAUUUCAAAGGCUGACAGAUUACAAAGUACCAACAUUAAAACAAUAAUUGAGUAUAUAUAUUUUUUCUCAGCUCAGUCCUCCCAUUUAAAAGCUUUGAAGGAAAAUAGAAAAAAAAUGGCUUGAAGAUAUAUUUAGGCCCGCGUCUUAUAGAGUAUGUUAGGGAGUACAUUAAAAAUGGAGUCUACUCUUAAAGAAUUACUGACUGCAUAUUUUGGCCUGUUACCUUUUCUUGUCUUGUGAGUUCAUUUGGUUAGUUUUUCAAAACUAUUUUAUUCUCUAAAGUCAAAUCAAUACUUUUUUCAAGUAUGACUCAUCAUUUGACUUGUAAAAUUGGAUGAAUAAAGUACCUUUAUCAUAUAGUCGGUAUUGGGCAUGAUUUGUGCAGAAAUGGGAAUAACUCACAAUUCCCUGGGUCAUUGACUCCAAUACAUAGAACCUCUAUAGAUAGAUAUAAGUAUUGUAUACUUUGUGACCAAAAGUAAGAAUGGACAAUGUAGCAUUUGAAACCCAGCAGAAAAAGAAGGGAGGAACACUCCCCUGAUAAAGGAAUCCAGGGAAAGUUAACAGACUUAAUUUAGGAAUAGAUGUUGAAAGAAAUAAAUUAAUAUACAUAAAGAUGGAAGAGGAAGACAAAAGAAUUUCAGGCUUUUUUCUUAUAGAAGUCAAACACUUUAGACUGUAAUUAGCCUCAGCAUCUCCCCUUUAUCCCUGACUGACUUUGUACCUUUCAUCUAUCCUCCCUAUUCCUUUACUUGCUUCUCAGUAGCUCAGCAUAAACAUCCAGGAAGUGAAGUCCCUGAAGGGGUUAUUCCUAUGAAAAGACAAGAUUAAAGCAGAUUCUUUAUGCUCUCAAAUCAGUUGGCCUGUUUAAUAUGUUGCUAGUACAAAAAAAUUAUUCAGCUUCCACAAAUUCUGCAUGGUUUCCUCAUUUCUCCUUCUUCCAACAUAACUUCUGUUUCAUGGUGAAUGAAAUAUUGCUUUCAGCAAUUUCAAAGUAACUUCACCUUAUCCACAUGAUUUUAGGGAUCAGAGAAGAGGCCAGAUUAAAUAUUAACCUUCGGCUGCGUUGUUCAUGCUGACACUCAAGCAAAUGUGACUUUUCUGAGCUGACGUUUGGCAGGGGGUCCUAUUUCCUCUAGCUCAAGGCUAGAAAUUAUGGAAUUUAUGCAAAGUUAAGGUCUGUUUUGUGUGAAAUCAAAUGAUAAAAUGAGCACUGGAAACUUGGCAAGGUAUUCUUUUCCUUUUCUUUUCUUUUUAUUAAUCUGGUAAAGAAAACUCUCUCUACUAAAAGCUUGGAGGCUUUCAUUUUUUCUUUCCUUUCUUCUACCAUUGUGCCACUCUGUCUUUUAUUUGCUUUUUCUUUUUAGUAGUGAUAAGGAGAGGGGAGCAGGUGUUUCUAAUAUUAAAUCCUACAUUCCCUGAUGUGGUCUUUGGGUUCUCUAAGAUUUUCUGACAUCUUUGUGGAUUGUCUUGUAACUAUAUGCUUUUUUUCUUCCCUCUGUGAUAUAUGGAUUGUGAAGUCACUGUUUCUUAUGUUUCCAUUCCUGAGGGUUAUUGUGGCUUGCAGAUGACCAUGUUAUGGACACUGUGUUAAGAGCAGUGCUGACUCAGAUGCCACUCGCAGGUGCUUGACAUGACCCAGAAAAGAAUCUAAGGAUGCUUCAAAGCUUUAUUUGAUAAUGAAAGGUGAAGAUAUGCAUCCCUAGAGUAGAAUUUGGCACAAGAAUAUACGUGCUUUGGAAGUUGAAAGUACAUCAGAUUUUGACAGCACAACUGCAUAAAUUACCAAGUAGUUUGGGUGAUUUUCUUUCUCCGAGCAUCUUCAUCAAAUAAAAGUGAUGGUUCCAAAGUCUCCUAGAAGUCAUCACGAUUUUCACUUUAUUGGCACAGUUGACAACAACAGCAAAGGAUCUUUUUGGAUGACUAAAAGGAUCACAGAGAAUGAAGGAGAGUUAUGAUCCAAGCUAACUCCCCAAGCAGACUUCUGCCCAGAUGCACUGUGCAUGAUGCCAAAGCCACAUGAUCAUCCCCUGGGAGAGAGAUACACAGGAGGAAGAAAGCCACGUGAUGAAAAUGGCAGAAACUCUCUAUAAGCUGUGGAACACCAGAGAUGUAGUUUGCAGUACAGGUAUCAUAUCUAAAAAAACAAACCCAUGGGUUGGGGAGUGGGAAAGGAAGAUGGUGAAACAGAGGAAAGAAGCACUUCACAGCAACUCCCUCACAAAGUGAGAAGACAGCUUCUCAGCAAGGGAUAGUGAGUGGAGUUGAAAGAUUUGAAACUUUCUCCUCGAUUCUUCUGCAAGGAAGCAUCUCUUCAUGUGACAAGAGAAUCACAUGAAAAGACUAAAAGUAGGAGCGACAGAAAGUUGACUUGAAGAGCCACGUGUUCCUCUGAGAAGAAGAAUCCUUAUGUAUCCUUUAAAGCUCUUUGGUAAUAACUGGUGACAAGCGCUUGGCAGCUCAGUUGCCACAAUCAAGCUUUAGGAGACAUAAAGUUUCUUAACGAAAGGCUCUGCUUAAGUAAAUCAUCCCAAGAGCAAACAACAUCAUAAACCUGCCAACUUUGAGCAGCUCAAGGUUAGAAACACCAUCUUACACAUUUUGUAUCAAAAGGCUAUCAUAGGACCUGUCACUCAGGUGAUAUUUAAGGAAAAAGAGGACUUUUAAAAUUUAAAGUGAUGUGGUUUGGAUUGACAGUAGAACUAGAAUUUUGUCUGAAAUUUUGUUACUUAUUCAAAAUAAAAUAAUGCGACAUGUUUAAGAAUAAGAAAUCAGUUUUUAUUAGAAAUAGAUAUCUUAAAUUGUAGAAUUCAGAUGAAAGAUCUUUCUUGAUCAAGGUCAUUGGGCACAUGCAAACAUUUGUUUUGCCAAUGUUACCCUUUAUUGUGAACUUUGCCUAGGUCUUAUGAGUCGAGAUAAGUAAAUAGUCACAUGAGCUAAAAUUUAUGCUGAUAAGAGUAGAAAUUUAAGAAGAAAUCUAUGCCUCAUCUAAGGAGGUCUAAAAGGUCACAGCUUUAGGAUGAACUUCACCCAUAUUAAUGUGAUUGUAUUUAAACUUCUUGUUUGUAGAAAUGCAGUAUCCUCUUUAAAAGUAGUUAAUGCCUAUGUAGUUCAAUUGUAUUUGGAUUUUUAAAAACUUGAAGUUAAAUGUGUUAUAAAAUGCUUUUGAUAGAAUUUGUCAUACUUCUAUUCAGAAUGUUAGAAAAUUUAUAUUCCUGCCAGUAGCUGAGGCUCUACGUAUGCAUCCUUGCUGAUACACUAACCACAUGAUUAUGCUUUUGUUGUUGUUGCAGUGCCCUAAUAAGGUGUUGUUUUAGUCAGCUCUCUUCACUGCUGUGACUAAAGGACCUGAUCAAAACAAUAGAAGAGGAAAAAUUUAUUAGAAGUUUAUGAUUUCAGAGGUCUUAAUCCAUAGACUGCAGGCUCCAUUCCUUUGGGCUGGAGGUGAAGUGGAACAUCAUAGCAGAAGGAUUGUGGCAAAAGGAAAUAGUUCAAUGGUAAUAAGGAAGCCAAGAGACUUUUUGAUACAGAUACAAAAUAUACCCCAAAGCCACGCCCCCAGUGAACCAUGUCUUCCAGCCACUCCCCACCUCCCCACUCAGUUAAUCACAUCAGCGAUCAAUUCACUGAUUAUGUUAAAGCAAUAACCCAACCAUUUCUGCUUCAAACCUUCUUGUGUUACCUCACAUGUAAGCUUUUGGGGGACACCUCACAUCCAAACCAUAGCAAGUGUAGUGGUGGUCUAUCUCACUGGUGUUUUAGCUUCAUUUCACUAAUAAAUAGCUGUUGAUAUGGUGCUCA
Molecule: non-coding RNA, 4287 nt
Organism: Ictidomys tridecemlineatus (thirteen-lined ground squirrel)
Lineage: Eukaryota; Metazoa; Chordata; Mammalia; Rodentia; Sciuridae
Source: RefSeq, a predicted model, not a curated record